AGUGAACGCUGGCGGCAGGCCUAACACAUGCAAGUCGAACGGCAGCACAGGAGAGCUUGCUCUCUGGGUGGCGAGUGGCGGACGGGUGAGGAUAGCGUCGGAAUCUGCCUAUUUGUGGGGGAUAACCUCGGGAAACCGGGACUAAUACCGCAUACGACCUACGGGUGAAAGCGGCGGACCUUCGGGCGUCGCGUAGAUAGAUGAGCCGACGUCGGAUUAGCUAGUUGGCGGGGUAAUGGCCCACCAAGGCGACGAUCCGUAGCUGGUCUGACAGGAUGAUCAGCCAAACUGUGACUGGGACACGGGCCAGACUCCUACGGGAGGCAGCAGUGGGGAGUAUUGGACAAUGGGCGCAAGCCUGAUCCAGCCAUGCCGCGUGGGGGAAGAAGGCCUUCGGGUUGUAAAGCCCUUUUGUUGGGAAAGAAAAGCAGCCGGUUAAUACCCGGUUGUCAUGACGGUACCCAAAGAAUAAGCACCGGCUAACUUCGUGCCAGCCGCCGCCGUAA
Molecule: ribosomal RNA, 506 nt
Filed under: uncultured bacterium
Lineage: Bacteria
Description: partial 16S ribosomal RNA
Rfam family: Bacterial small subunit ribosomal RNA
Source: RNAcentral